This is a long non-coding RNA of Cygnus olor (mute swan), 179 nucleotides long. RefSeq lists it as uncharacterized. The transcript is spliced from 3 exons. The record is from RefSeq and is a predicted model, not a curated record. Lineage: Eukaryota; Metazoa; Chordata; Aves; Anseriformes; Anatidae.
GUGAUGCUGCAGUGAAUCAGUGUAAACAGGCAAUAUGUAAUGUUGCACAAGGACUCUGUUCUUCAGGUAACUGAGGAAACAGCAAAGCUAACAGCUCCUCUCUGCCAAUUGCCUCCUCCUCACGCUUUUCCCCUGCUCCACAAGCUGCAGUUUCUUCAGGAAUAUCCACCUGUUCCCAU